AUAAACCGCCUGCUGCAUCACGUCCCAUAUUUGCGCCAGAUAAUUCUGCAACGUCUGUGGCGAGUGGCGGCACAGCUCAUUUUUCAUCAUCAGCGCCGCCACGGACAGGCCGUUACGCCGACACAGCGCCAGCAACUGCGCGGCAUGACUAAAUUCAAAGGGCGACACUGUACGCAAAGGAAGCGAUGGCGUCAGCGGCUCGCCAUGUUUACGAACCUGCCCGGCGCCGGUAGAAAACCAGGUCUCUUCAUAC
This 253-nucleotide unclassified non-coding RNA is filed under the name uncultured fungus. RNAcentral describes it as "partial internal transcribed spacer 1". The record is from RNAcentral. Lineage: Eukaryota; Fungi.